CCUGAUUCCAACACAACUUUAAUGCAUUUGAUGAGGUUUUUUGCUACAUUCAUAUGUUGCCAUUUUUUUGCAUGCUCAAAUCUUUAUCGUUUUUGCAUGAAAUAAAUAAAUGUUUUGCAGAAUGCUGCCCAAUAAGCCUUCCUCAUUUGGCUACACCCUGUGAUACCAGAAAGACUUUCUUAUCUCAUGCCUACAAAUGAUCUGAACAACAAACAACCUGCAUUAGAAGUAGAGGGCACCCAGAAAGACACUUAGUAAUGAUAUCACUACCUGUUUAUUGGUUUUCUUACUGUCUGCAGCCAGUUUGCGAUUAAAAGCAGCUCACUCAGUCCCGUUGGAGCUGAGACCAGAG
This is a non-coding RNA of Pelobates cultripes (western spadefoot toad), 352 nucleotides long. NCBI's taxonomy places the organism in Eukaryota, Metazoa, Chordata, Amphibia, Anura, Pelobatidae. The record is from the annotation of a GenBank genome assembly.